AGUUCGGUCCCUAUCUGCCGUGGGUGUAGGAAUAUUGAAAGGAUCUGUCCCUAGUACGAGAGGACCGGGAUGGACGGAUCUCUGGUGGACCUGUUGUGGCGCCAGCCGCAUAGCAGGGUAGCUAUAUCCGGACGGGAUAACCGCUGAAGGCAUCUAAGCGGGAAACCCACCUUAAAACGAGU
RNAcentral lists this ribosomal RNA (182 nucleotides) under Umezakia ovalisporum. RNAcentral's name for it is "Chrysosporum ovalisporum partial 23S ribosomal RNA". It matches the Rfam family "Bacterial large subunit ribosomal RNA", at positions 2628 to 2809 of the family's 2925-position model. The record is from RNAcentral. Lineage: Bacteria; Bacillati; Cyanobacteriota; Cyanophyceae; Nostocales; Nodulariaceae.